GACGAACGCUGGCGGCGUGCUUAACACAUGCAAGUCGAACGGAAAGGCCCUGCUUUUGUGGGGUGCUCGAGUGGCGAACGGGUGAGUAACACGUGAGUAACCUGCCCUUGACUUUGGGAUAACUUCAUGAAACUGGGGCUAAUACCGGAUAGGAGCUCCUGCUGCAUGGUGGGGGUUGGAAAGUUUCGGCGGUUGGGGAUGGACUCGCGGCUUAUCAGCUUGUUGGUGGGGUAGUGGCUUACCAAGGCUUUGACGGGUAGCCGGCCUGAGCGGGUGACCGGCCCCAUUGGGACUGAGAUACGGCACAGACUACUCCGGGAGGCAGCAGUGGGGAAUAUUGCACAAUGGGCGGAAGCCUGAUGCAGCAACGCCGCGUGCGGGAUGAAGGCCUUCGGGUUGUAAACCGCUUUCGCCUGUGACGAAGCGUGAGUGACGGUAAUGGGUAAAGAAGCACCGGCUAACUACGUG
This 468-nucleotide ribosomal RNA is filed under the name uncultured bacterium. RNAcentral describes it as "partial 16S ribosomal RNA". It matches the Rfam family "Bacterial small subunit ribosomal RNA", at positions 28 to 507 of the family's 1533-position model. The record is from RNAcentral.